CCUCUGUAUGUCACAUGUAUAGCUCCUACUUCCUGGGGUGACCAGGACCCAUUUGGGCUCUGCCCACACUACUGGCAAAGAUGUGGUAUGGUGAACACAGGGUCUGCAUCCUGGGAUAACCUGGGGAGGCUGUGCCAGGCUGUGGCAGCCAGUGCCCUCAUCUUGGCUCCUGAGACCCAGGGGCACCCUCCUCACUUCCUGAAUCCCUGAUCUCUGGGGCUGGCAGAUGAAUGAAGCCGGGCAUGAGAUAAUGCUACGAAAAGCCUCGUCUCUCAGCUGGACACUCACCCCACCAGGCCCAGGCAGGCCCUGCACGUACAACCUGUCGGGAAACACGGGCCCAGACGGGGACUUCACUGGCCCUAAAGCACACAGUUCCAGGCCCGAGCCCGUGUCUGCC
Molecule: non-coding RNA, 400 nt
Organism: Microcebus murinus (gray mouse lemur)
Lineage: Eukaryota; Metazoa; Chordata; Mammalia; Primates; Cheirogaleidae
Source: RefSeq, a predicted model, not a curated record